GAUGAAGAACGUAGCGAAAUGCGAUAAGUAGUGUGAAUUGCAGAAUUCAGUGAAUCAUCGAAUCUUUGAACGCACAUUGCGCCCUUGGGUAUUCCUUAGGGCAUGCCUGUUCGAGCGUCAUUUAAACCUUCAAGCUCAGCUUGGUGUUGGGUGACUGUCCGCUUCACCGCGGACUCGCCUCAAAAUUAUUGGCGGCCGGUACAUUGGCUUCGAGCGCAGCAGAAACGCGAACUCGGGCCCGUCGUAUUGGCUCCCAGAAGCUAUCUUCACAAUUUUGACCUCGGAUCAGGUAGGGAUACCCGCUGAACUUAAGCAUAUCAAUAAGCGGAGGA
RNAcentral lists this unclassified non-coding RNA (332 nucleotides) under soil metagenome. Its description in RNAcentral is "partial contains 5.8S ribosomal RNA, internal transcribed spacer 2, and large subunit ribosomal RNA". The stretch from base 1 to 120 matches the Rfam family "5.8S ribosomal RNA", at positions 35 to 154 of the family's 154-position model. The record is from RNAcentral.